UGGGGGAUCGUCUAGUGGUAGGACACCUGACUCUGGCUCAGGUAGCGGGGGUUCGAAUCCUCCUCCCCCAGCCA
RNAcentral lists this transfer RNA (74 nucleotides) under Actinomycetota bacterium. Its description in RNAcentral is "tRNA-Gln". It matches the Rfam family "tRNA". Rfam says of the family: Transfer RNA (tRNA) molecules are approximately 80 nucleotides in length. Their secondary structure includes four short double-helical elements and three loops (D, anti-codon, and T loops). Further hydrogen bonds mediate the characteristic L-shaped molecular structure. tRNAs have two regions of fundamental functional importance: the anti-codon, which is responsible for specific mRNA codon recognition, and the 3' end, to which the tRNAs corresponding amino acid is attached (by aminoacyl-tRNA synthetases). tRNAs cope with the degeneracy of the genetic code in two manners: having more than one tRNA (with a specific anti-codon) for a particular amino acid; and 'wobble' base-pairing, i.e. permitting non-standard base-pairing at the 3rd anti-codon position. The record is from RNAcentral. Lineage: Bacteria; Bacillati; Actinomycetota.